RNAcentral lists this ribosomal RNA (464 nucleotides) under uncultured bacterium. RNAcentral's name for it is "partial 16S ribosomal RNA". It matches the Rfam family "Bacterial small subunit ribosomal RNA", at positions 28 to 506 of the family's 1533-position model. The record is from RNAcentral.
GACGAACGCUGGCGGCGUGCUUAACACAUGCAAGUCGAACGGAAAGGCCCUGCUUGCAGGGUACUCGAGUGGCGAACGGGUGAGUAACACGUGGGUGAUCUGCCCUGCACUUCGGGAUAAGCCUGGGAAACUGGGUCUAAUACCGGAUAGGAGCCAUUUUUAGUGUGAUGGUUGGAAAGUUUUUUCGGUGUAGGAUGAGCUCGCGGCCUAUCAGCUUGUUGGUGGGGUAAUGGCCUACCAAGGCGGCGACGGGUAGCCGGCCUGAGAGGGUGGACGGCCACAUUGGGACUGAGAUACGGCCCAGACUCCUACGGGAGGCAGCAGUGGGGAAUAUUGCACAGUGGGCGCAAGCCUGAUGCAGCGACGCCGCGUGGGGGAUGACGGCCUUCGGGUUGUAAACUCCUUUCGCUAGGGACGAAGCUUUUUGUGACGGUACCUAGAUAAGAAGCACCGGCUAACUACGU